RNAcentral lists this long non-coding RNA (322 nucleotides) under Urocitellus parryii (Arctic ground squirrel). Its description in RNAcentral is "lncRNA (ENSUPAG00010009012.1)". The record is from RNAcentral. Lineage: Eukaryota; Metazoa; Chordata; Mammalia; Rodentia; Sciuridae.
CAACUGAUUCUGGCAAACACCAGCGUAUUUAGGAACACGAAUUUAACAAGUCACUCAGUGAAAAGAAAAGCCACAACUUUCUCAGUGGGUGUUUCAAAAGCCUGGUUUCCUUCUGAAUAACCAACUCCAAAGUUCCUGUUAACUGUCUCCUGCCUAUUUUAUGGACAACAGGACCAGCUGAAGAGAAAAAUUCUCAUUGCUUAUAUUUGGGUCACCAGGUGUGCUUGACACAAACAUUAAAAAGUGAAAUGGUUCAUGGGAUUUCAUAGUAAAUUAAUCAGAAACAUAAUAAUUGCUCAGUAAAUUAUUUUUGAACCUUGAA